NNNNNNNNNNNNNNNNNNNGGGCCGGCCGUGGGGCAGGGGCAGGCAGCACGUGCCCCCCAGGCUGCUGCGGAGCGCCGUGGAGCGCCUGGGGCCGCCGGAGCCGGGAGCCGCCGACCUGACGCGGGAGCAGGGUAAGGAGCCGCGUGCCCGGGGCCCGGCCGCCCCCAUGGGGCAGCACCCCACGGCCAGCCCCACGGCCGGCCGCAUGGCCCCGCUCUCCCGCAGCCCUGCUCUACCUCUUCGCGCUGCACGACCACGACGGCAGCCGGCACCUGGACGGGCUUGAGCUCCUGCAGCUGCUGAGCGAGGCGCUGACGCAGCGGGACGCGGGGCGCCCUGCCCCGGACGCGGUAGGUGCCGGCACCCCGUGCCCCCCGCGCCCCCCGGCUGCCCUGACCCCCGUGCCCACAGGUGGCCGUGCUCGUGGACCGCGUCCUGGAGACGCAGGACCUGGACGGCGAUGGGCUGCUGGACCCCUCCGAGCUGCUGCUGCUGCCCGGCGGGGGCCGGGGUGCCCCAGCUGUGGGGCAGGGUGUCGCGCGCUGGCUGGAGCCGGGCACGGAGCUGAGCAACCCGGGGCAGGGCCCGGCCGAGGGGCAGGAGGUGCCGGGCGGCGCUGCCCCCCCGGAGCCCGAGGCGGCGCCGGGGCUGGGGGACACUGCCGAGGUCUAGGGGUGGACGGCACCGGCAGGACCGUGCCUGCCCCCCCCCCCCCACCCCCCGGCACCUCCAUGGGGCCCUGGCGUGCAGGGUGCCAGCGUGGUGCACGGUGCCGAUGCACUGCAGUGCGCAGUGCCAGCGCAGUGCACAAUGCUGGCAUGGUGCCAGUGCAAUUCACAGUGCCAGUGCGGUGCACGGUACCAGCAUGGCGCACAGUGCCGAUGCAGUGCACAGUGCAGUGCAAUGCACGCUGCUGGUGCAAUACAUGGUGGUGGCGUGGUGCGUGGUGCCGGAGCGGUUCCCUGCCCCCCUGCCAGCCCCACAGCCGGCCCUGGGGUGCGGCACCACGGCGGCUCCCUGUUCCAGGCCACCCCGUCUGCUGCCGGGGCCAAGGGCUGCAGGGGAGCCACGUCACCCCGGCACUGGAGCCAGCCCCACGGUGCGGCCUGUGGCAGGGUCGCCCUCCGCCGUGCCUGGGGGUGGGCAGCGCCGUGGGGCGGGAGCACCGUGCCGGGACACGUGCAAUCAACCCUGUAACGCUCGGCAGGAUGGAGAAAUACACGGCGCUGCCGCCCUGCGC
RNAcentral lists this long non-coding RNA (1241 nucleotides) under Apteryx haastii (Great spotted kiwi). RNAcentral's name for it is "lncRNA (ENSAHAG00000009905.1)". Lineage: Eukaryota; Metazoa; Chordata; Aves; Apterygiformes; Apterygidae. The record is from RNAcentral.